CUGCUCGUGUUACGUUUUUAAAUUUAGCGCCAGGCGAGGGGCUCUGAAUGCCGGCGCGUGGCCGCAGGCAACGGGAAGGGGCCGCGGCCUCUCCCUCGCAGCUCCGCUUGUGGAGAAAAGGUUGUUCUCUUCUACCAAAUUUUCCUGCCAUCAAAUGCUCAUCGAGUGACAAUAGAGAGAGCACCAUAGUCCUCAAGCAUCAGAUUGGGAGAAGAGUCUGCUCUCAAGAGCAUCAACUAUGUAGAAAAGGGACCAGCUUCUGCAAAAGACUUGAGACAGCUCACAAUGAAGUACUCUGUAUUAGGCAGGGUGAUAUUGAUUGCAAGUGACAGAAACCCAAUCAGAAACUCACUGGAGUCAUGAGGAACACUUAUUGGCUCAGAGUAAAGGCAAAAUAGACCUUCAGAGAAAUAAAGUCUGGGAAAUUGACUAGCUCCUCACUGAAAGAACUACUAAAGGAUGUACUUAUGGAAGAAGAAAAUUACAAAAUGAAAGAACUGGGAUGCAAGAAGUAAUGGUGAGCAUGGAGUUUGGCAAGGAUUCAAGUAAAACAAAGCAAGGACUGAGUAUAUAAAAUCAUAAUCAUAACAAAUUUUGACUAUUAGAUGUAACAGCCAAUCUCUUAACUGGAUCAUAAUAGUCAAGAAAGCGAAGGGCAGAAAAAAUGACAAAAAGAAUAAUUAGAAUGUUAAUAAGAAGAG
Symphalangus syndactylus (siamang) is the source of this 701-nucleotide long non-coding RNA. RefSeq lists it as uncharacterized. The record is from RefSeq and is a predicted model, not a curated record. Lineage: Eukaryota; Metazoa; Chordata; Mammalia; Primates; Hylobatidae.